This 83-nucleotide transfer RNA is filed under the name Candidatus Omnitrophota bacterium. RNAcentral describes it as "tRNA-Leu". It matches the Rfam family "tRNA". Rfam says of the family: Transfer RNA (tRNA) molecules are approximately 80 nucleotides in length. Their secondary structure includes four short double-helical elements and three loops (D, anti-codon, and T loops). The record is from RNAcentral. Lineage: Bacteria; Pseudomonadati; Candidatus Omnitrophota.
GCGAGGGUGGUGGAACUGGCAUACACACAGGCCUAAGGAGCCUGGCUCUUUGGAGCGUGAGGGUUCAAAUCCCUCCCCUCGCA